AUUUUGUUAUUAUAUUAGAGUAUACCUGAUUUCCAAUCAGGAGGAUUGUUUAUACAAACAAAAUA
This 65-nucleotide transfer RNA is filed under the name Ophiosteira sp. Op725.7. Its description in RNAcentral is "tRNA-Gly". The record is from RNAcentral. Lineage: Eukaryota; Metazoa; Echinodermata; Ophiuroidea; Amphilepidida; Ophiuridae.